GUUUUUAUAAUUUAAAAAAAAUAUUGGUUUUGUAAACCAAAAAUAAAAAUUCUUUUUAAAAACA
Molecule: transfer RNA, 64 nt
Filed under: Chrysolina haemoptera
Lineage: Eukaryota; Metazoa; Arthropoda; Insecta; Coleoptera; Chrysomelidae
Description: tRNA-Thr
Rfam family: tRNA
About the family: Transfer RNA (tRNA) molecules are approximately 80 nucleotides in length.
Source: RNAcentral